RNAcentral lists this long non-coding RNA (242 nucleotides) under Helianthus annuus (common sunflower). RNAcentral's name for it is "sRNA HanXRQr2_Chr05g0217611". Lineage: Eukaryota; Viridiplantae; Streptophyta; Magnoliopsida; Asterales; Asteraceae. The record is from RNAcentral.
UUCAUCAUCCCCUCCUAUCAAACACAAACCCUAACCCUUCAUAACAGCACGGCAACAACAGCAACAAUACCGGCAAUACGAACAACAGCAACUCACAAGUAUACCAGGUAAGCGUAAGAGUAGAAGACAACUUUUGGUUUGUGCUGUUGCUUAUGUUUGUGGCUGUUUCAAAACCUUGUUAUGAUGGGUACUGUAGCAUCAAUGGACUUGUACUGUUUACACAUAUUUCAAAUUGCAAUUAA